AUUAUAAUUAGGGGGUCUGGAUGUCUAAUACACAUGCUUUCAGAUAUGAUUCCUCAAGUUGUAAGAUUUUGUUUUUUUAAAAAAUAAGACCUCCACUUCAUUUUAUUUUUUUAUUGAAUUAAAUCCCUUAUCUUGGUUUUUCAAUACUUCAAUCCCUCGGUCCACUUAUUUGUGUAUAUUCCUACAAAUGACAAUACGUAUAAGGCACAUAUUACAUAAAUGAAGGGACUCAAAUUACUUUUAACUUGGAAAAUGGAGGUUCAACUUUAUAAAAAAUAAAUAAAUUAAUAAAGCUAUUGGUUGACUUAAAACUCAAGAUAGAAAAUUUUAUUUUACCCAAAAAAAUUUUCACAUGUGAGAUUUUUUUUUAAAUUAGCACUGCUUAAAAAAUAAAUUAUUAAAAUAACACAUGUAUAAAACAUUUUGGUGCAAUAAUACAUUUAUUUUAAGUAUGUUGGGGGUUGUCACCAACUACUUUUAAAAAUAUCAUUGGUGAGAAAUACAAUUUUUUAAAAUAUCAUGGUUUUUACCUCCUAUAUUUUACCAUUUAUAAACCUAAUUUUUUUCUUUUUUUCCACCGCAAAUCCCCCACUCUCCAACCUCUUACAAACAACCACCUUUCCUCCUCACCUUUGCAAAUCGACCUCUCUUGCCUUAUAACAUCCACAUGAUAUCUUUUUCGUUCUUUUUUUCUUUUUCGUCUUUAAGCCUCCCCACAAUAUAUUUUCAUAAAAAAUCACCUCCAGUAUCUUAGUUGUUGACAAAUCAAGAUGAUAACUAUUUGGAGUGGUAAUAAGGUAUAAUGCGUCGAUUCAUCACGCCAAACCUGGAACAUAUUUCUCCAUGUACGGACAUGGAGAACGAGAUGUAGGCAUAACAAAUUUAAAAUUGUUUAAGUAUUUAUUAUUUUUUGUAAUUAAUAUAUGAUGAAAGAUGCAUUUUACUUAUUGAUUAAUAUAUGUAUUUGUUGAAUAUUAGGUUGACAUGUUGUUAUAGGAGGGUCACUGUAGAUCUUCAUGGUCAUGAAUAUAAUGACCUAAGACAUUACCUAACAUCUUAUUGGUUCGAUGUAUGUCGUAAUGCAUUUGAUGUAUUUGGAAA
Molecule: long non-coding RNA, 1101 nt
Organism: Populus nigra (black poplar)
Lineage: Eukaryota; Viridiplantae; Streptophyta; Magnoliopsida; Malpighiales; Salicaceae
Exons: 2
Source: RefSeq, a predicted model, not a curated record